RNAcentral lists this ribosomal RNA (468 nucleotides) under uncultured bacterium. RNAcentral describes it as "partial 16S ribosomal RNA". It matches the Rfam family "Bacterial small subunit ribosomal RNA", at positions 28 to 507 of the family's 1533-position model. The record is from RNAcentral.
GACGAACGCUGGCGGCGUGCUUAACACAUGCAAGUCGAACGGAAAGGCCCUGCUUUUGUGGGGUGCUCGAGUGGCGAACGGGUGAGUAACACGUGAGUAACCUGCCCUUGACUUUGGGAUAACUUCAGGAAACUGGGGCUAAUACCGGAUAGGAGCACCUGCUGCAUGGUGGGGGUUGGAAAGUUUCGGCGGUUGGGGAUGGACUCGCGGCUUAUCAGCUUGUUGGUGGGGUAGUGGCUUACCAAGGCUUUGACGGGUAGCCGGCCUGAGAGGGUGGCCGGCCACAUUGGGACUGAGAUACGGCCCAGACUCCUACGGGAGGCAGCAGUGGGGAAUAUUGCACAAUGGGCGGAAGCCUGAUGCAGCAACGCCGCGUGCGGGAUGACGGCCUUCGGGUUGUAAACCGCUUUCGCCUGUGACGAAGCGUGAGUGACGGUAAUGGGUAAAGAAGCACCGGCUAACUACGUG